UGCAUAUCAAAUAAGCGGAGGAAAAGAAACCAACAGGGAUUGCCUUAGUAACGGCGAGUGAAGCGGCAAAAGCUCAAAUUUGAAAUCUGGCACCUUCGGUGUCCGAGUUGUAAUUUGAAGAAGGUAACUUUGGAGUUGGCUCUUGUCUAUGUUCCUUGGAACAGGACGUCACAGAGGGUGAGAAUCCCGUGCGAUGAGAUGCCCAAUUCUAUGUAAAGUGCUUUCGAAGAGUCGAGUUGUUUGGGAAUGCAGCUCUAAGUGGGUGGUAAAUUCCAUCUAAAGCUAAAUAUUGGCGAGAGACCGAUAGCGAACAAGUACAGUGAUGGAAAGAUGAAAAGAACUUUGAAAAGAGAGUGAAAAAGUACGUGAAAUUGUUGAAAGGGAAGGGCUUGAGAUCAGACUUGGUAUUUUGCGAUCCUUUCCUUCUUGGUUGGGUUCCUCGCAGCUUACUGGGCCAGCAUCGGUUUGGAUGGUAGGAUAAUGACUAAGGAAUGUGGCUCUACUUCGGUGGAGUGUUAUAGCCUUGGUUGAUACUGCCUGUCUAGACCGAGGACUGCGUCUUUUGACUAGGAUGUUGGCAUAAUGAUCUUAAGCCACCCGUCUUGAAACCACGG
Molecule: ribosomal RNA, 614 nt
Filed under: Debaryomyces hansenii
Lineage: Eukaryota; Fungi; Ascomycota; Pichiomycetes; Serinales; Debaryomycetaceae
Description: eukaryotic LSU rRNA
Rfam family: Eukaryotic large subunit ribosomal RNA
Source: RNAcentral